RNAcentral lists this long non-coding RNA (443 nucleotides) under Bos taurus (domestic cattle). RNAcentral's name for it is "long non-coding RNA NONBTAT005838". Lineage: Eukaryota; Metazoa; Chordata; Mammalia; Artiodactyla; Bovidae. The record is from RNAcentral.
AGGCGUAUUUUUGCGUCUGUGAGAGAUACAGACAGACACAAAGAUACCUGGAAUAUCAGUAACGCAGGGCACGGUGGUGCUCAGAGGAAGACUCUGCCUCAGGACUAACGGGGACGGAGCUUGGCCGUUUCAGGAGGUGACGGCUGAACUCACUAACUGGAAUAUCAGUAACGCAGGGCACGGUGGUGCUCAGAGGAAGACUCUGCCUCAGGACUAACGGGGACGGAGCUUGGCCGUUUCAGGAGGUGACGGCUGAACUCACUAACUGGAAUAUCAGUAACGCAGGGCACGGUGGUGCUCAGAGGAAGACUCUGCCUCAGGACUAACGGGGACGGAGCUUGGCCGUUUCAGGACGUGACGGCUGAACUCACUAACUGGAAUAUCAGUAACGCAGGGCACGGUGGUGCUCAGAGGAAGACUCUGCCUCAGGACUAACGGGGACG